Long non-coding RNA from Asparagus officinalis (garden asparagus), 1336 nucleotides. RefSeq lists it as uncharacterized. The transcript is spliced from 3 exons. The record is from RefSeq and is a predicted model, not a curated record. Lineage: Eukaryota; Viridiplantae; Streptophyta; Magnoliopsida; Asparagales; Asparagaceae.
UUUUCCGUCUGGGAUACCUAUCCCAGACGGAAAAUUUCCGUCUGUAAUGUAUUAUAGACGGUAUUUUUUUCCGUCUACUAAAAUCCGUCUAGAAUUCAUUCUAGACGGAAUUUCCGUCUAGAAUAACGUAUUCUAGACGGAAACAAACUAGACUCGUAUUCCAGACGGAAUUCCGUCUGGAAUAGGUUUUCUGGACGGAAUUUUAAUUAUUCCAGACGGAAUUUUCCGUCUGGAUUACGUCGUUUUGUACCAGUGUGUGGAUCUUUAUUUGCAGGAAGUUGUUGGAGUUGAAGGUUCUGUUCUGAGGCAGGGGAGAAGUGUUAUAGUAAUUUCGGUCGAGUUCAGGAUAAAAGAAACUCAGAAGCUCUUCUACACAUCUCGGGCCACUUUUUAUGUGAUGCAUUUCGCAAGUUUAUGAGUUCUCCGACAACUUCAAGUAAGAAGUUAUGGCCAUAUAUAAUGUGUUAGAUAAUAAUAUGUUGUUGUCAUAUCGAUGAAUUUGCAUAAGAUGAAGGAUUUUGUGUGCUCUGCGUAUCGAUGAAUUUGCACAAGACUAAUUACUGCCCAAAAACUGAAUGAACAUCAAUGCACAAUAAUUUUUUCUUCGUCUUUACGAUUACUUUCACAUUGAUGAUGCUAACAUAAAAUCUUUAUUGUAUUUCUCUCCCUCUGCUGUUGUAUAGGUGGAAGCAGAUGAAGCAUAUUUGAGUAAUGAAAGCACAGUAACCAAUAUAAACACCUUUUUUGAAGAUGCCUGUAAAUCGUCAUGUGAAGGAAUAAUGGCAACAACUCUAGAUAUUGAUGCUGGAUAUUGUGCAUCAAAGCGCACUGAUGCCUGGUUAAAGGUCAAACGUGACUAUAUUGGGUGACAGUCUUGAUUUGGUACCCAUUGGCGCUUGGUAUGGGAAUGGAAGAAAAGCGGGAUGGUACAGAUAAUAGGCUUCCCUUCCUUCUUAAUGUUUUCCUUUGAUCUAAUGGUUUCUCCUAUCAAAAUGAUUUUGUUUCUCUGACUGCCACGGUACAGGUACAGCCCUUUCCUUAUGACGUGCUACAACCCUGAUGCUGAAAAGUUUCAAAGUGUGUGUAGAGUCAUGUCUGGCUUCUCAGAUGAAUUCUAUAAGUCGGUUCAAGUUUCUAGCUUCUAGCUUAAAUUUCAGUUCCUGCUUACGCUCAGAAUGAUGAGGAAAAAGGUGAAGAAUGAGAAGAAGAAGGCCUGAGUAAAUGUAUAGGGAAGGAGUUGAAGAAGCUUCUGCAGUGUCACAACCAUUGUAAAUAAUUUAUGUAAAAGUUUGUAAACAAUUUAUGUAUCUCUCUACUAUUUUGGUGAAUGUAUUAU